Molecule: ribosomal RNA, 253 nt
Filed under: uncultured bacterium
Lineage: Bacteria
Description: partial 16S ribosomal RNA
Rfam family: Bacterial small subunit ribosomal RNA
Source: RNAcentral
UACGGAGGGUGCAAACGUUGCUCGGAAUCAUUGGGCGUAAAGCGCACGUAGGCGGCUUGUUAAGUCGGGUGUGAAAUCCCUGGGCUCAACCCAGGAAGUGCACUCGAAACUGGCGAGCUUGAAUAUGGAAGAGGGUCGCGGAAUUCCCGGUGUAGAGGUGAAAUUCGUAGAUAUCGGGAGGAACACCAGUGGCGAAGGCGGCGACCUGGGCCAAUAUUGACGCUGAGGUGCAAAAGCGUGGGGAGCAAACAGG